GAGUUUGAUCGUGGCUCAGAUUGAACGCUGGCGGCGGGCCUAACACAUGCAAGUCGAGCGGUAGAGAGAAGCUUGCUUCUCUUGAGAGCGGCGGACGGGUGAGUAAUGCCUAGGAAUCUGCCUGGUAGUGGGGGAUAACGCUCGGAAACGGACGCUAAUACCGCAUACGUCCUACGGGAGAAAGCAGGGGACCUUCGGGCCUUGCGCUAUCAGAUGAGCCUAGGUCGGAUUAGCUAGUUGGUGAGGUAAUGGCUCACCAAGGCGACGAUCCGUAACUGGUCUGAGAGGAUGAUCAGUCACACUGGAACUGAGACACGGUCCAGACUCCUACGGGAGGCAGCAGUGGGGAAUAUUGGACAAUGGGCGAAAGCCUGAUCCAGCCAUGCCGCGUGUGUGAAGAAGGUCUUCGGAUUGUAAAGCACUUUAAGUUGGGAGGAAGGGCAGUAAAUUAAUACUUUGCUGUUUUGACGUUACCGACAGAAUAAGCACCGGCUAACUCUGUGCCAGCAG
RNAcentral lists this ribosomal RNA (510 nucleotides) under uncultured bacterium. RNAcentral describes it as "bacterial SSU rRNA". It matches the Rfam family "Bacterial small subunit ribosomal RNA", at positions 9 to 514 of the family's 1533-position model. The record is from RNAcentral.